This is a long non-coding RNA of Oncorhynchus masou masou (cherry salmon), 268 nucleotides long. RefSeq lists it as uncharacterized. The record is from RefSeq and is a predicted model, not a curated record. Lineage: Eukaryota; Metazoa; Chordata; Actinopteri; Salmoniformes; Salmonidae. The transcript has 3 exons.
AAACAGGGCUGCUGAAAAUACAGUUGACAACUUCCCGUUUAUUUACAACUAUGGACCGUUCUUAAUGUGGUUCUGUCAAGAUGAUCAUCGACCAGGAUAUCAACCCCUAUGUGGACCAAUGGGAGGCAGAGGGGAUAUUUCCUGCCCACAAAGUCUUCAAGCUCUUGGGAAAUGCUGGCUUUCUGGGUGUCAACAAGCCAGUUGCAACACAACGACAACAGCCACCCUCGAAGCAGCCUUACCCAUGCAGAGCAAGGGAAACAACCAC